CCUGUGAAUCAUCUACUAAGAUACAAUUUUGAAAGCUAUUCACAAC
Flavobacterium akiainvivens is the source of this 46-nucleotide non-coding RNA. NCBI's taxonomy places the organism in Bacteria, Pseudomonadati, Bacteroidota, Flavobacteriia, Flavobacteriales, Flavobacteriaceae. The record is from Rfam.